CGGCGGACGGGUGAGUAACGCGUGGGUAACCUGCCCCAUACAGGGGGAUAACAGUUAGAAAUGACUGCUAAUACCGCAUAAGACCACAGCACCGCAUGGUGCGGGGGUAAAAACUCCGGUGGUAUGAGAUGGGCCCGCGUCUGAUUAGCUAGUUGGUAAGGUAACGGCUUACCAAGGCGACGAUCAGUAGCCGACCUGAGAGGGUGACCGGCCACAUUGGGACUGAGACACGGCCCAA
RNAcentral lists this ribosomal RNA (238 nucleotides) under uncultured bacterium. Its description in RNAcentral is "partial 16S ribosomal RNA". It matches the Rfam family "Bacterial small subunit ribosomal RNA", at positions 96 to 334 of the family's 1533-position model. The record is from RNAcentral.